Molecule: unclassified non-coding RNA, 348 nt
Filed under: soil metagenome
Description: partial contains 5.8S ribosomal RNA, internal transcribed spacer 2, and large subunit ribosomal RNA
Rfam family: 5.8S ribosomal RNA (bases 1-120)
Source: RNAcentral
GAUGAAGAAGGUAGCGAAAUGCGAUAAGUAAUGUGAAUUGCAGAAUUCAGUGAAUCAUCGAAUCUUUGAACGCACAUUGCGCCCGCCAGUAUUCUGGCGGGCAUGCCUGUCUGAGCGUCAUUUCAACCCUCAUGCCCCUAGGGCGUGGUGUUGGGGAUCGGCCAAAGCCCGCGAGGGACGGCCGGCCCCUAAAUCUAGUGGCGGACCCGUCGUGGCCUCCUCUGCGAAGUAGUGAUAUUCCGCAUCGGAGAGCGACGAGCCCCUGCCGUUAAACCCCCAACUUUCCAAGGUUGACCUCAGAUCAGGUAGGAAUACCCGCUGAACUUAAGCAUAUCAAUAAGCGGAGGA